AGGACGAACGCUGGCGGCGUGCUUAACACAUGCAAGUCGAGCGGUAAGGCUCCUUCGGGAGUACACGAGCGGCGAACGGGUGAGUAACACGUGAGCAAUCUGCCCUUCACACUGGGAUACCCCCCGGAAACGGGAGCUAAUACCGGAUACGACCACUUCAGGCAUCUGAUGGUGGUGGAAAGUUCUGGCGGUGAAGGAUGAGCUCGCGGCCUAUCAGCUUGUUGGUGAGGUAAUGGCUCACCAAGGCUUCGACGGGUAGCCGGCCUGAGAGGGUGACCGGCCACACUGGGACUGAGACACGGCCCAGACUCCUACGGGAGGCAGCAGUGGGGAAUAUUGGACAAUGGGCGAAAGCCUGAUCCAGCAACGCCGCGUGAGGGAUGACGGCCUUCGGGUUGUAAACCUCUUUCAGCGGGGACGAAGCGAAAGUGACGGUACCGCAGAGAAGCACCGGCCAACUACGUGCCAGCAGCCGC
RNAcentral lists this ribosomal RNA (476 nucleotides) under uncultured bacterium. RNAcentral describes it as "SSU rRNA". It matches the Rfam family "Bacterial small subunit ribosomal RNA", at positions 26 to 518 of the family's 1533-position model. The record is from RNAcentral.